AGAAGUACUGCCUGCUCCAUGGGCUGCCCUGGUGACUCAGACAGUAAAGAAUCUGCCUGCAAUGAGGGAGACCCAGGUGAAAGUGGUGGAGAAGCCUAGUCCACGUGACAAGCUGUCUCACCUAUCAAACCCCUGCUUGCAGCAGGAGCUUGAACAAAUACCACUGAGUCAGCCCCUACUCCAAAUAAAUGAUGAAAUGAUCAUGUACCAUGUGGAUCUACUAUCCCUGCCCCAGACGCCAUUGCCCCGCACUGGGUUGACGCGGUUUCUGUCCGCACAGCCUCCCUGCCUUUGGGGGGCCCUCCUCUCUUCUUCUGUGUGGCUCUGGGGAGGCUGAGUCCUAGGACCUACCCAUCUGGCUGCACAUGCAGCAUAUGUAAGGUAGCUUGCAAUAAAACUUUUUCCCUUUUGUU
Long non-coding RNA from Bubalus bubalis (water buffalo), 413 nucleotides. RefSeq lists it as uncharacterized. The transcript has 3 exons. The record is from RefSeq and is a predicted model, not a curated record. NCBI's taxonomy places the organism in Eukaryota, Metazoa, Chordata, Mammalia, Artiodactyla, Bovidae.